This 433-nucleotide ribosomal RNA is filed under the name uncultured bacterium. Its description in RNAcentral is "partial 16S ribosomal RNA". It matches the Rfam family "Bacterial small subunit ribosomal RNA", at positions 29 to 507 of the family's 1533-position model. The record is from RNAcentral.
AACGAACGCUGGCGGCAUGCCUAACACAUGCAAGUCGAACGAGACCUUCGGGUCUAGUGGCGCACGGGUGCGUAACGCGUGGGAACCUGCCCUUAGGUUCGGAAUAACUCACCGAAAGGGGUGCUAAUAUCGGAUAAUGUCUUCGGACCAAAGAUUUAUCGCCUUUGGAUGGGCCCGCGUUGGAUUAGCUAGUUGGUAGGGUAAAAGCCUACCAAGGCGACGAUCCAUAGCUGGUCUGAGAGGAUGAUCAGCCACACUGGGACUGAGACACGGCCCAGACUCCUACGGGAGGCAGCAGUGGGGAAUAUUGGACAAUGGGCGAAAGCCUGAUCCAGCAAUGCCGCGUGAGUGAUGAAGGCCUUAGGGUUGUAAAGCUCUUUUACCCGGGAUGAUAAUGACAGUACCGGGAGAAUAAGCUCCGGCUAACUCCGUG